RNAcentral lists this long non-coding RNA (950 nucleotides) under Rhagoletis pomonella (apple maggot). RNAcentral describes it as "uncharacterized LOC118750423". Lineage: Eukaryota; Metazoa; Arthropoda; Insecta; Diptera; Tephritidae. The record is from RNAcentral.
AUAUUUAUAAUACUUUUUUGUUGUUUUUCAGGAACGUGUUGGCCGUAGGUUAGGGGGUUUGAGAGUUUUAAACUCUUAUUGGGUGGCUCAGGACGCGUCUUAUAAAUAUUUUGAAGUCAUUUUAGUGGACAUCCAUCAUAACGCUAUAAGAAGAGAUCCAAAAAUAAAUUGGCUUUGUAAGCAUGUUCAUAAACAUCGUGAGCUUCGUGGUUUGACCUCAGCUGGCAAAAGUUCUCGUGGAAUUGGCAAGGGCUACCGUUAUUCGCAGACUAUUGGAGGUUCCCGUCGUGCUGCAUGGAAACGCAAAAAUACUUUGCAAAUGCAUCGUAAACGCUAGAGCGAUAUUUUUAGUUUUGAUAUGCUCGCAAAAUAUAAAGAUACGCGUGUUUUCGAAGAAUGUAUUUUUAUUUUUUGUUCGGAGUCUGAUGACCGAAGAUGCUUAAAUGACUUUCCUUCACUGUAUGAACUGAACCUUGUUGGCAAAAAUUAAAAUGUUUGAACGCAGAUUAUGGUUAUGGUUAUGUAGGGGUGGUCUACCGCCCCCUUGCACUUUGUCGUUCCCACGACAGUCAGGUCUACGCAAUCGGAACGACAAAAAUUUUUAUCGCCACUCCAGCAUCGCUCGGCAAAAAUUUGUUGGGGAUUUCCAACAACACUUAAAUCAAAAAAUUUACGAAUUUGAAAAAUUGCUCUCACUCAAUCCGAGUGAAGUCGCCAGCACAAAUUAUUCAGACUAACACCCUUAUUCUAGAACCCGAAUUAUCGUAAUUCGUUAAUUCGUAGCAACGUUACGAAAAACAAAAAAUCGACAUUCCCACGACAGCCGGUUCUACGUACCGGAAUGACUGGGGUUUUACCCGACCAAGGGCUGUUGUUUCGGCGAUCUAACCCCGUUUAGGUCGGCGAAAUACAUCAAACGUUGCUCGAUCCUAGGGCUACACCUCCGCAGC